UGGCUCAGACGGUAAAGCGUCUGCCUACAAUGUAGGAGACCCAGGUUCAACCCCUGG
This 57-nucleotide transfer RNA is filed under the name Ovis aries (sheep). It matches the Rfam family "tRNA", at positions 8 to 63 of the family's 71-position model. Rfam says of the family: Transfer RNA (tRNA) molecules are approximately 80 nucleotides in length. The record is from Rfam by way of RNAcentral. Lineage: Eukaryota; Metazoa; Chordata; Mammalia; Artiodactyla; Bovidae.